GUGCGAAAUAUUACUGUAAACGGCCGCCCUAGCGUGAGGGUGCUAAGGUAGCGAAAUUCCUUGCCUUUUGAUUGUAGGCCUGCAUGAAUGGUUUAACGAGGGUUUAACUGUCUCUAAAUUUUUUAUUGAAAUUGUACUGAAGGUGAAGAUACCUUCAUUUAAAAGUUAGACAAAAAGACCCCGUGCAACUUUGAAAAUUAACUUUAUUCAGAAGUAAAAGAUUUUUAGGUGGGGCGCCUAGAAAGUAAAUCUAACCUUUCUGAAUAAUUAGUUCUUUCCGGAUUCGACCCGAUUAUAUUCGAUCAUAGGAGAAGUUACGCCGGGGAUAACAGGCUAAUCCUUUAGUAGAGCUCGUAUUGGCUAAAGGGAUUGGCACCUCGAUGUUGAAUCAGGGAUGAUAGCUUCAAGGCGUAGAGGCUUUGAGAGUAGGUCUGUUCGACCUUUAAUACCCU
This 452-nucleotide ribosomal RNA is filed under the name Magallana hongkongensis (Hong Kong oyster). Its description in RNAcentral is "partial 16S ribosomal RNA". It matches the Rfam family "Bacterial large subunit ribosomal RNA", at positions 1908 to 2597 of the family's 2925-position model. Lineage: Eukaryota; Metazoa; Mollusca; Bivalvia; Ostreida; Ostreidae. The record is from RNAcentral.